RNAcentral lists this small RNA (2873 nucleotides) under Pongo abelii (Sumatran orangutan). RNAcentral's name for it is "retained intron". Lineage: Eukaryota; Metazoa; Chordata; Mammalia; Primates; Hominidae. The record is from RNAcentral.
CGUCGAGCUGUCUGUCGCUACUACAAUAAUGACCUGCUCCGAAACCGGUGAGACCUGGUUUGACUGCUUGUGGGAAGGGUGCUGGAAAUACUCUCAGAGUCCCAGGCAGGAUACCAGCAGGGAGGGGAGGUUUCAUUUAAGUCUACCUGCUAGCUGACAGGUGUCAUUAUAUAUUCAGUGCUCAGCUCACCAGUCCUUCAAGCUAGACAGUGCCCCCCUCCUUUUAUAGAUGAGGAAAGUGAGAGUUAAAGCAAGUAGCCCAAGGUCACACAGCUAAUAACUGGCAGAGCUGGGCGUUGACCACAGAGUCUAUGCAGGAACUUGGGGAGAAACAGAGGAGCAGCCAUGCUGCGAGAGGGACUUAGGGUGAAGGGCUGGGGAGAAAGCCCUGUCUAGGACACAGGAGGCCUGGGUUUCAGGCCCAGCUCUGUCUGCCUCAUCAUGGGACUUAUCUUCUCUGGGGCUCAGUCUUCCCAUCUGUACAAAGAGGAACUCAAAGGAACCUGAAGGCACAGAGGCGGCUGGCCUGGGAUGGAUGUGGAGAGGACUUGCUAGCAGGGCUGGGGACAGGGAGCUGGUCACUUUCAGCUCUGAGGAGGUGAGGAGGGCACAGUUCCUGUGGGCUGGGACUGUCCACAGGGGGCUUCCUAGAAGAGGAAAAGUCAAACAAGGGCUUUGAUAGUUAAACAGGGGAGAGGGAAUCCGUUUGUUCUUGUGGCAGGUGGGGCAAUAUAAAAUUGUACUUGUCAGGCCCCCUGAGCCCUUGGGCUCGGAGAGAGGCAGGGCCAGCCCAGGCCACAGAGCAGAGUCCAGGACAGGGCGAUGAAGAUGGCAAGGCCUCUGCUCCCACCCAGGGCUCCUCUGCAGAGCCUCUCCCCCUCCUCCAGGGAAGAGCCCCAGCAGAGGUCAAUGUCUCCCUGAGGCCUCAGUAUCUCUGAUUUCACAAUGAGUGAUGACUGCUGACGUCCAUGCCCUGGCCUGGCAGCUCUUGAGUUCAAGGGUCCUCAUUCUUUCCCCAGGUUCAUCGGCCUCCAGUUCUUCUUCAAAACAGGUUCUGUGAUCUGCUUCGCCUUAGUUUUGGCUGUCCUGAGGCAGCAGGACAAAGAGGCAAGGACCAAAGAGAGCAGAUCCAGCCCUGCCGUAGAGCAGCAACUGCUAGUGUCGGGGCCAGGGAAGAAGCCAGAGGAUUCCCGAGUGUGAGCUGUCUUGGGGCCCCACCUGGCCAAGAGUAGCAGCCACAGCAGUACCUCCUCUGAGUCCUUUGCCCAAGAUUGGGUGUCAAGAGCCCUGUGUUCCAUUCUGGCUCCUCCACUAAAUUGCUGUGUGACUUCAGGCAAGACACCUAUCCUCUCUGAGCCUUUGCUUGCUAGUCUGAACCGAAGAGUUGUUUGGGCGUUUGCUGUGUUGGCCAUUUCUGAAGCAAGAGGGUCUUCCUCCUCCUUCCCCCAGCCAGCCAGCUGUCCUGCAGCCAGGCUUUCCUGGGUGGAAAGACUGUAUACCUUUCCCCGGGGCCCUAGGAUAGCAAAGUGAGCCAUAGUGGGCCAGGCUGUCCUCCAUGCUGGGCCCCAGCGCAGGUCUGCACUCGCCUGGAUCACCCUCUUUGAGCCUUAGCCAUCUCCUGUCAGGUGGGAAUGAACUUGCCAGCCUUCAGGCUCGCUCAGCUGUGACCAUCUGUGCGGUCAGGGUACACUCAGAUCUCCUCCCCAACUCCAGCAACCUUUAAGAAGUGUCCCUUUGGCGCCCCCUGGAGGCAGAGCACUGAGCUGGACCCUGGGUAAACUCCCGCAGGGAGGACGGAGCUGGCCUCAGGUGUGGGACACCCAGACUUGGCAGGGCCUUCAAGAGGCCUGUGUGGGGGCCCCAGGAAGCCUUAGCUGAAGCGGGGAGACUCACUCUCCAUCUCAGGAAGUUCUAGCCCUUGCCCUCAGGGAGCCACGGUUGAGGGUGAGGCCCAACACCUGCCUUAGGGCCCUGGGUGGGCAAGUCUGGGCCCUGGGGUAGGGAGGGAGACUCAGGCCCACACUUGGGUAUUUUCUAAUUUCAGACAAACACACACUCAGCGUGCACUCACUGAUUCCUACACAUUGCCAAUAUUUCACACGUGACCAGGGGCCACCAAAGUCCCUGUGACCUUUGUAACUAGGAUCCUAAUUUCUCUAUUUUCUCCUGGGUGCCUGGGUCUGUGUCACCUGGGGCAGUGUGGAUAAUGUUUAGUUCUGUGACACUGUUUUUUGGGGGUGGCACCUGGUUCUCUGAUGCCUGGGCUGGCAUCAGGCCCAGGACUGUAGAGCUGGGAGCAGUAAAGCUCAGCUCUGUGUAAUGAGUGAUGCUAUAGCUUGCUCGGGUCUUAUGAUCCAAUCCUUUUCUACAUCAGGCCUUGUUUUGUUUUAUGGCUAGUCUUAUCUGGCCUGGUUAUUUCCCUGCGGGGAGGAGAGAGUUUGCUAAUCGGCUCCCAGCCCAACCUAUUACCACCCCACCUCUCUGGGACCUGCUGCUUGGGAAGCAGCAGACAGGGAGCCACCAGCAGUGGCUUCCUGGCCCUGUGCUGGGGGUGGGGGGAAGCUGGGGGCACAUGUGGCCCUUGCCUUCUGAGCAGCUCCCAGUGCCAGGGCUUUGAGACUUUCCCACAUGAUAAAAGAAAAGGGAGCUACAGAAGUUCCAAUUCCCUUUUUAUUUUGCUGGUUGGUAUCUGUAAAUGUUUAACAAAUAUCUGAGCAUGUAUGUAUCAAUGCCAAGAAUUGCAAAGUAUCCUUCAACAAUAUGAGGCUUUUAGGAUGUUUAUAUUCCUUCAUCCCUCUUGUUUCCCAGGUUUUGCAGGGAAAAAAAGUCUGGAAUUAUAGAUACGGCUUAUUAUUAAAUUUGUUCUUGCAUAA